GACGAACGCUGGCGGCGUGCUUAACACAUGCAAGUCGAACGGAAAGGCCCUGCUUUUGUGGGGUGCUCGAGUGGCGAACGGGUGAGUAACACGUGAGUAACCUGCCCUUGACUUUGGGAUAACUUCAGGAAACUGGGGCUAAUACCGGAUAGGAGCUCCUGCUGCAUGGUGGGGGUUGGAAAGUUUCGGCGGUUGGGGAUGGACUCGCGGCUUAUCAGCUUGUUGGUGGGGUAGUGGCUUACCAAGGCUUUGACGGGUAGCCGGCCUGAGAGGGUGACCGGCCAAAUGGGGACUGGGGAACGGCCCGGACUCCUACGGGGGGAAGCGGGGGGGAAUAUUGCACAAUGGGGGGAAGCCGGAUGCAGCAACGCCGGGUGGGGGAUGACGGCCUUCGGGUUGUAAACCGCUUUCGCCUGGGACGAAGGGUGAGUGACGGUAAUGGGUAAAAAAGCACCGGCUAACUACGU
This 467-nucleotide ribosomal RNA is filed under the name uncultured bacterium. RNAcentral's name for it is "partial 16S ribosomal RNA". It matches the Rfam family "Bacterial small subunit ribosomal RNA", at positions 28 to 506 of the family's 1533-position model. The record is from RNAcentral.